GGGUAUAGCUGAGUGGUACAGCGCAUGCUUAGCAUGCACAAGGUCUGGGUUCAAUCUCCAGUACCUCCA
Molecule: transfer RNA, 69 nt
Filed under: Camelus bactrianus (Bactrian camel)
Lineage: Eukaryota; Metazoa; Chordata; Mammalia; Artiodactyla; Camelidae
Also listed under: 2 other names
Rfam family: tRNA
About the family: Transfer RNA (tRNA) molecules are approximately 80 nucleotides in length.
Source: Rfam by way of RNAcentral